Molecule: ribosomal RNA, 459 nt
Filed under: Nocardia farcinica
Lineage: Bacteria; Bacillati; Actinomycetota; Actinomycetes; Mycobacteriales; Nocardiaceae
Description: bacterial SSU rRNA
Rfam family: Bacterial small subunit ribosomal RNA
Source: RNAcentral
UUGGAGGAGUUUGAUCCUGGCUCAGGACGAACGCCUGGCGGCGUGCUUAACACAUGCAAGUCGAACGGAAAGGCCCAGCUUGCUGGGUACUCGAGUGGCGAACGGGUGAGUAACACGUGGGUGAUCUGCCCCUGCACUCUGGGAUAAGCCUGGGAAACUGGGUCUAAUACCGGAUAUGACCAACUGUCGCAUGGUGGUUGGUGGAAAGCUUUUGCGGUGUGGGAUGGGCCCGCGGCCUAUCAGCUUGUUGGUGGGGUAAUGGCCUACCAAGGCGACGACGGGUAGCCGACCUGAGAGGGUGAUCGGCCACACUGGGACUGAGACACGGCCCAGACUCCUACGGGAGGCAGCAGUGGGGAAUAUUGCACAAUGGGCGCAAGCCUGAUGCAGCGACGCCGCGUGAGGGAUGACGGCCUUCGGGUUGUAACCUCCUUUCACCAGGGACGAAGCGGAGAGUGA